Molecule: signal recognition particle RNA, 98 nt
Filed under: Bacillota bacterium
Lineage: Bacteria; Bacillati; Bacillota
Also listed under: 2 other names
Description: signal recognition particle sRNA small type
Rfam family: Bacterial small signal recognition particle RNA (bases 6-90)
About the family: The signal recognition particle (SRP) is a universally conserved ribonucleoprotein involved in the co-translational targeting of proteins to membranes.
Source: RNAcentral
UAUGAGUGCCAUCGCGAUGGGAAUAUUCCGAACCAGGUCAGGACGGGAACGCAGCAGCCUUAAGGUUGAUCUCAUGUGCGAUGGUUUUAAUUAAUAUG